This is a small nuclear RNA of Gorilla gorilla gorilla (western lowland gorilla), 164 nucleotides long. Its record names the gene U1. It matches the Rfam family "U1 spliceosomal RNA". From Rfam's summary of the family: U1 is a small nuclear RNA (snRNA) component of the spliceosome (involved in pre-mRNA splicing). Its 5' end forms complementary base pairs with the 5' splice junction, thus defining the 5' donor site of an intron. There are significant differences in sequence and secondary structure between metazoan and yeast U1 snRNAs, the latter being much longer (568 nucleotides as compared to 164 nucleotides in human). The record is from Ensembl. NCBI's taxonomy places the organism in Eukaryota, Metazoa, Chordata, Mammalia, Primates, Hominidae.
AUACUUACCUGGCAGGGGAGAUACCAUGAUCACGAAGGUGGUUUUCCCAGGGCGAGGCUUAUCCAUUGCACUCCGGAUGUGCUGACUCCUGCGAUUUCCCCACAUGUGGGAAACUCGACUGCAUAAUUUAUGGUAGUGGGGGACUGCGUCCGCGCUUUCCCCUG